Hippocampus comes (tiger tail seahorse) is the source of this 1065-nucleotide RNA transcript. It is a transcript of the gene named adiponectin receptor protein 2-like, with no coding region annotated. The transcript has 3 exons. Lineage: Eukaryota; Metazoa; Chordata; Actinopteri; Syngnathiformes; Syngnathidae. The record is from RefSeq and is a predicted model, not a curated record.
UUUUUUUUAAUUUUAUAAAUAUAUAUUUUUUAAUUUCUGCUCAUUUGUGUCCAACAGGCUGGACAACAGCGGCAUCGCCUUCCUGAUCAUGGGCUCGUUCGUGCCAUGGCUCUACUCCUCCUUCUACUGCUCGCCGCAGCCGUGCUUCAUCUACCUGCUGGUGGUGUGCGUGCUGGGCCUUUCCGCCAUCACCGUAUCCCAGUGCGACUUUUUCGCCACGCCGCAGUCCCGAGGAGUCCGCGCAGGUGUGUUUGUGGGCUUGGGGCUGAGCGGCGUGGUGCCCACCCUGCACUUUGUCAUCAGCGAGGGUCUCAUCAGGGCCACCACCAUCGGACAGAUAGGCCUUUCCUCAGGGCCUGCCUCUCCUUCGCUCCGUUUCGGUUGUGUUUACCGAACGACGUAAGGCAAGAGCAAGCACGGAAAUACAGGAGACAUUAAAAUUUAUUUUUAAACAUUUUUUAUGAUUAUUAUUUUUUACGGUUGAGUCAUUUAAAACGUUGCCUGUGUCUUUCGACGCAUAUUAACGAGGUGCAGAAUUUAUUUUUCAAGUUCUUUGAGCUGAGACCCGGAACUAAAAGGCGGACCAAAACCGGAAACGAGUCAUUGUUUGCCUUGGCAUUUUGUUUGCUCCUAUUUUUGAUGUUCUUCCAACACGUGAGCGAAGUUAGUUUUGGUACUUUCGAUCUAAGUCAGGCAUUUUUGGAUUUUUUUUUUUAAUGCGCAGGAGACGACCACAGUGCAGGAACGUUGUCUCCGAGUCGGCUGCUGGCUGUCUGCGUGCAAAAGUGGCGACGUGUUGUGCAAAGCCUUCUACUUUUCGUUGCCUGGUGAAGUCAGCCUGUGACAGCAGAGCUGGGCCAACACGUGGACCUAAGACAAAAAUGAGAUUGGUGAGUCUCAAGUCCACUUCUUGUGCAGCAAAUGCAAUUUGAAAUGUGAUCAAACUAACCAGCACAGAAGUUGUCUGGGACUCUGAACAAGUGCUCGCACGGCCACAUCACGCUCAGCUCCUGCGCAACAAACAAUAUGGGGUCAAAGAAGGGAUUGAAAAAACUGUCAAGCAUU